This 1524-nucleotide long non-coding RNA is filed under the name Zonotrichia albicollis (white-throated sparrow). RNAcentral's name for it is "lncRNA (ENSZALG00000000951.1)". Lineage: Eukaryota; Metazoa; Chordata; Aves; Passeriformes; Passerellidae. The record is from RNAcentral.
UCAAACUGGGAGGGUCUGGGAGCGGCUUCCGGGUUGAACUGGGAGCACUGGGAGUGGAUACUGGUUUGUACUGGGAAGGAUUGGUUCAUACUGGGAGCGCUGGGAGCUGUUACUGGUUCGUACUGGGAGCCUAGAGGGAGUUACUGGGGGUCACUGGUUCAUACUGGGAGCACUGGGAGCUGUUACCGGUUUGUACUGGGAGUUACUGGUCCAUACUGGGAGCACUGGGAGCGGUUACUGGUUUGUACUGGGAAGGACUGGGAGCACUGUGAGGGGUUAUUGGGAUGGACUGGUUCAUACUGGGAGCACUGGGAGCUGUUACUGGUUUGUACUGGGAUGGACUGGUUCAUACUGGGAGCACUGGGAGCGGUCACUGGUUCAUACUGGGAGCACUGGGAGUGGUUACUGGGAUGGAUUGGCUCAUACUGGGAUGCUGGGAGCGGUUACUGGUUUGUACUGGGAAGGACUGGGAGCACUGGGAGGGGUUAUUGGGAUGGACUGGUUCAUACUGGGAGCACUGGGAGCGGUUACUGGUCCAUACUGGGAGCACUGGGAGCUGUUACUGGUUUGUACUGGGAAGGGCUGGUUCAUACUGGGGGUCACUGGUUUGUACUGGGAUGGACUGGUUCAUACUGGGAUAUACUGGGAGUUACUGGUUCAUACUGGGAGCACUGGGAGCGGUCACUGGGAGUUACUGGGAAAGACUGGUCCAUACUGGGAUGGACUGAGGGUUACUGGGAGCACUGGUUCAUACUGGGAGGCACUGGGCCAUACUGGGAGCACUGGGAGCGGUUACUGGUUUGUACUGGGAUAGACUGGUUUAUACUGGGAGCACUGGGAGCCGUUACUGGUUUGUACUGGGAGUUACUGGUUCAUACUGGGAGGCACUGGGAGCGGUCACUGGUCCAUACUGGGAGGCACUGGGGGUUACUGGGAGCACUGGGAUGGGUUACUGGGGGUCACUGGUUCAUACUGGGAUGCUGGGAGCCGUUACUGGUUUGUACUGGGAAGGACUGGGCCAUGGUUACUGGGAUGGACUGGGGGUUACUGGUCCAUACUGGGAUAGACUGGGAGCGGUCACUGGUCCAUACUGGGAAGGGCUGGUUCAUACUGGGGGUCACUGGUUUAUACUGGGAUGGACUGGUUCAUACUGGGGGUACUGGGAGCCAUUACUGGUUUGUACUGGGAGCCCUGGGAGUGGAUACUGAUUCGUACUGGGAAGGACUGGUCUAUACUGGGAGCACUGGGAGCGGUUACUGGGAUGGACUGGGGGUCACUGGUUCAUACUGGGAGCACUGGGAGCUGUUACUGGUUCAUACUGGGAGCACUGGGAGCGCUUACUGGGAUGGAUUGGUUCAUACUGGGAUGCUGGGAGGGGUUACUGGUUUGUACUGGGAAGGACUGGGAGCACUGGGAGCGGUUACUGGUUUGUACUGGGAGCACUGGGAGCAGUGACUGGGAUGGACUGGGGGUUACUGGGAGCACUGGUCCAUAGUGGGAGCCGUUACUGGUUCAUACUGGGGC